UGGUGGGUUUGAUUGGAGACAGGGACGAGGCAGAGCAUGGGAUGGGGCCAUCAACAACAAAAUUUCCAAUUUCCGUUUGCUUGCCCACAAAAUGGAGGGACUUGUCAGGAGAGGUAUCAGGCAGAGAGAAGGUGCCUCCCUGGUGAAAUGGUGAUGGCCUGAGAGAGCUCAGCUGGUGUCCUGGUGUUGUUGCUUCCUCCCCUGCACUGCCUCUUCCCUGGCUCCCCACCGUCGCCCUUGC
MicroRNA precursor from Sorghum bicolor (sorghum), 241 nucleotides. It matches the Rfam family "MIR408 microRNA precursor family". The record is from Rfam. NCBI's taxonomy places the organism in Eukaryota, Viridiplantae, Streptophyta, Magnoliopsida, Poales, Poaceae.